Molecule: long non-coding RNA, 3670 nt
Organism: Rhipicephalus sanguineus (brown dog tick)
Lineage: Eukaryota; Metazoa; Arthropoda; Arachnida; Ixodida; Ixodidae
Exons: 3
Source: RefSeq, a predicted model, not a curated record
AGUGUCGUAGAACUCUGGGACAAAGCGCCUCCGGGCACCGCGUCUCCUCCCAUCAGACAACGGCACGUCUCUUGUCUCUGCACCGACGACGAUGACCGCGAGUCGUGCAGCUUUCGUUUCGACAACGCAGUGCGGGAACCGUAGCGACUUCAUGACUGCCUCAGAGCCAUCUAUGACUGCCUUUGCUUGACUGACGGACGUCGAGGGCGAAGCAGAGCGAAGAGCGAAGAUGCUGCAAUCCGCUGCCUUGCCACAAGUGCCCGUGCUGCAAGUUCAUUCGUAACCCCUGUGGAGAGGGAUCCAACCGAAAUGGAGAAAGUAGGGGCUGACGAGCUGCGUUGAAGCUGCUAAGUUUAUGAGUGCGAAACAGCGCGGAAGCCGACAGGAGGGGACAGAAGAGGACACACAGUUUAUUCCAACAGUUUAUUUCUUUUGAAUGCAUUCGCUGUUGUACACUUACACACUGUCACACCAGCCAUGCGCGGAACACAAUGCUGUUACAAUUCAUCACGUGGACAAACCUAAAUAGAUAUUUUCCCUAUCAGUGAGAGUGACAGAGGGGGUACUUACACAAUCAUCCUUUAAAGAAAAUAUCUUACCAGCCUCAAUGAUUUCGUGUGUGAUGCGAUCUCUGCUUUUGGCGACAAUGCUACAAUCUGAAUAUCUUGGUCAUGUUGUACCAACACGUCCAAUCCUACAGUCUGCUAAGUUUCAUCUGCCUAAACGACCUAUACCUCGCGAUAGGUGGUGACUUCAGCGUUAACCUUUUGCAAAAUACCAAAUGCGCACGUGAUCUGCAACUUAUUCUUCAGUCAUUUCAUUGUAGAAAUGUGAUAAGAACACUUACACACCUUAGCAACACUUCCGAUAGCCUCCUUGACCUUUUUAUAACAAGCUGUACUAACGAAGAGACGAAAGCAGGUACUAUCAUAGCUGACAUGGGGGAUCAUUUGUUAAUCUAUAUGUUCUGUCCAUUCAGUGCAGCUUCUGCGGGUGCUCGUCACUCCAAGGCUUUUUCUGUGCAGGAAAUAAACUGUAAAACGCUAAGCAUGUUCCGUAAUAAACUUGGAAAUGUAGACUGGACAACUGUGUUUCAGUGUACUGACCCUAAUAAAGCAUAUAGCACGUUCCUGCAAAUUUUGAAAGGUGUCAAUGAGAAGUGUUUUAAGUUUAAAACCAUUCGAAAAUGCGCAAAAAGUCGCAAACCUUGGCUUAAUAAUGGGUGCGCAGUUAUGAUACGCAAGAAGAACUCGCUUUGUCAAAACAAGGGACCCAGGUAAGUUUGCAGCAUUCAAGAAACAUCGCAACCAGGUAACAAAGUUCUUGAGACAUAUACUAAAACAGUUUAUUUUGAAAACCUUUUCAGUCAAAUAAGUAGUCAGAGCGACUUGCUUUGGCGCGAAAUUAACCUGUUGUUAAACCGCAAUAAUCGCAAGACUGAUGAGCUUGAGCUAAUACAUAAUCACAGGACCAUAAAAGGCCUAGAACUUGCAGAAAAGUUUAACGAGUAUUUUACAAGUUUGGAAAAAAGCUAUUUUAAUAUUGCCGCAACUGAAUUUCUAGGUCCGCGCCAAUGCACAUACAGCUUUUUUUGCGCCCACAACUUCAGAUGAAGUCUCUCAAGCUUUUAUGUCCUUAAAAAUAGCAAAGCACGUGACAUAAACGGGUUACAGAUAAAACCAAUCAAGUUUGUGGCUGACAUCUUAUCACCUGCACUUACUCACAUUUUUAACCUUUCAAUAUCUGCUGGAAUCUUUGCUCAGGAAAUGCAAUAUGCGAAAGUUAGCGUCAUUUUCAAACCUGGUGACAGAAAUACGUUCUUGAACUAUCGGCCAGUGUCUGUUCUCCCUGUUAUAUCAAAAGGAUUGGAAAAAAUAAUUUGCAAAAGAAUUAUGGCUUUCUGUGAUAAACACUUGAUCAUAACGGCGCAGCAGUAGGUUUCCGUGAAGGAAUGUCAACAGAACUUGCCCUACUAACACAAAAGGAGUUAAUCUUGAACAGUUUUGAAAAUAAACAGUUUACGUUGGGUAUUUUUGUAGACUAUUCUAAGGCGUUCGACUGCCUGAAUCACCGCACUUUAUUUACAAAACUAGAGCGUGACGGACUGUGUGGCACUCCUUUUACGUUACUGAUUUCAUAUCUAAAGCACAGAAAGCAAUGUGUUGCCAUCAUGUCAGAACAAUCUACACUGAAAGAAAUAACUCAAGGAGUACCGCAAGGUAGCAUACUGGGGCCCAUACUAUUCAACAUCUACAUCAGUGAUAUAACAAACAUUUCUAAUGGCGCCAACUUCAUAGUUUAUGCAGAUGAUACCAGCAUUUUCUUGAGAUCAAGCGAUAUCAAUAGUCUCUCGGUCAUCUCUAAUACUGCACUAAAAUACUUGGCCGAAUGGAGCUCCGUUAAUUCACUAAAACUGAAUACAGCAAAAACUAAGGCGGUCCUUUUCACCCUGCCGCAACGACAUGAUUUUAAAGAUUUGAGAUUGAAGCUUGGAUCUGAUUGCAUAGAACUUGCAUCAAACGUCAAAACCUUGGGAGUUGUUUUUAAUAAUCAUCUUACUUGGAAUGAUCAUGCUGGUGAUAUCGCCACACGUUUAGCGAAAGCCUGCGGGGUGCUCUGUAGACUGCACUAUACUUUACCGCGUAGCGUUAAACGCAUGAUUUAUAACACCCUAUUUUCCCCUCAUUUAACGUAUUAAGCCAGUUUACAUAGGUUGAGUGUGCUUCAGAAAAAAGCAGUUCGCCACAUAGCAAAUGCUCAGUAUGACGCCCAUACUGGAGAGCUAUUUUCCACCCUUAAGAUCUGCCCGCUUGAGGAGUUCUAUAAUCUUAACCUCACUCUAAAAUGCCAAAAAUACUUCCGAUGAAACAACAAAAGUUUUAUGUCGUUAUGCAACGUGACUAUACCCAAAGCUAUCUCACAUAACAUAACGGAGAGAGACAAGUGGCUCAUACCUUUCUCGCGCAUGAAAUAUGGAAUGAGCAGCUUGUCAUACCGUGUGCCAUGCUUGCUCAAUGAAUUUGAAAGAAAUGGCAUUCGCAUAGAAAACUCUUCAAGAAAUGCAGUGAAGCGAUACGUGGUUGAGCACUUGUCUUCAAAGCCGUAGUGCACGCUAUGCUAUUUCUAUAAAACGAUUUGCCUGUUGCAUUUUCUGUUCUAGACAUUUCAGUUCUUUUUGAAAUUGAAUUAUACACAUGCUUUAUUUUUCCAUAAGCGUAGUUAUGAUGUUUAUAUAUGAAUGCAUAAUAGUCCUUUUAGCGUAUACAAGUUCUGUAUGUCUCAUUGUGUGAAAUAUUCUGUGCAUUCUCAUUAUUGUACAUUAUUUCCGCUUCCAUGAUGCACUGUUUUUCAUUUUUAACAUAUUUUGUUUGCUCAAAGAAACCGUGUACUUCAUAAUUGUCAUGUAUUAAUUUCGCUGUAUAUCUUUACUUUUGUUAACUACUCUGCUAGAUACGAGAACCAGAAAUGCCUAGUAGAAAUGUAGCACUAGAGAUGUUUCGAUACAUGGUACGUUGUUUUUUGGCUGUCAAUAAUUGGGGCAAGGACCUUUGUCAAGCUUCUGUAUAGCAGCUUUUUGUUGUUGUCCUCGUGUUCAUUAUCUUCCUGUAAUGAAUGCCAAAUAAAAUUGAUUGAUUGAUUGAUUGAUUGAUCGAUCGAUCGAUCUCAGAAG